UCAAGAUCACGUCCUGUCACCAAGGCUGACUGAUUUCUUCUGGUGUUCAGAGUCUUUUGGAGUUUCUAGCACCAUUUGAAAUCGGUUACAAUGAAGGACAGAAACCAGCGUUUGAAGGAGAGACACAGAUCUUUUCUGCUGCCUACUACCUUACUGGAGAGAAGUUUAAGCGAAGUGGAUUUCCUGAUACUUCACUGAAUCCAUCUCGCCUUCCACACGCUGCAGGUUUCCAGUGCCAGAGGACCCAAAGCAGCCCCAGAGCAUCACCGAGCCACCACCAUGCUCGACUGUGGACAGAGUGUUCUAUCUUCAUUCUUCUUCCUCCAGACAUACCGCUGAUCCAUCGUGCUGAAACACAAUCUCAAAACUUCUGUGGCUUAUUUGUAUGCUUCUGAUCCAACUUUUCUUGGGCUUUGGGGCUGUAGUGGUGAACGUCUUGGAGUUCUGGCAUGGAAACCUUCUGCAUUUAGUAUACACCUUACUGUGCUCACUGAAACCUCAGUGCCUGUUACACCAAGUCUUGCUGUAGGCAUUUUGCAGUCACUCGAGGGUUUUUCACAACCUGCCUUCUCAGAAAUCUGGUUGUAGUCAUUGAUAGCAUCCGUUUUCUGCCCCAUCCAGGUAGUGUACUCUCAUCAAACCCCUAGUCAGUUCAGGUAUUUCAUGUGUUCUAGCUCAAGCACACCUGAUGCAACUAAUGAAGCCCUUGAUUAGUUGCAUCAGGUAUGCUUAAGACAACACAUGAUUUGCAUAUUUGUGCUGUUGUGAGGGAUUCUAUUCAGGGGGUUGAAUAAUUUUGACAAUAAACCUGAUUUGCAAUGGGGGCUGAAUAAUUUUGAUUGCAACUAUAUGGCCAAAAGUAUAUGGACACCUGACCAUCACAUCUAUUUGAGCUUGUUGGUCAUCCUAUUCCCAAAACCAUGGGCAUUAAUUUAUGGAGUUGGUUCCUAUUUUGGGCUAUAGCAGCCUCAAUUCUCCUUGGAAGGGUUCUAUUGCGUAUGCUUGGUUUACA
Molecule: long non-coding RNA, 1012 nt
Organism: Ictalurus punctatus (channel catfish)
Lineage: Eukaryota; Metazoa; Chordata; Actinopteri; Siluriformes; Ictaluridae
Source: Ensembl